UGCAGAAUCCCGUGAACCAUCGAGUCUUUGAACGCAAGUUGCGCCCUAAGCCUUCUGGCCGAGGGCACGUCUGCCUGGGUGUCACAAAUCGUCGUCCCCAUCCUUUGCGGAUGUAGGACGGAAGCUGGUCUCCCGUGUGUUACCGCACGCGGUUGGCCAAAAUCUGAGCUGAGGACGCUUUGGAGCUUCUCGACAUGCGGUGGUGAAAUAAAGCCUCGUCAUUUCGUCGGUUGCUCCAGUCUAAAUGCUCUUGAUGACCCAAAAUUCUUGACGCGACCCCAGGUCAGGCGGGAUCACCCGCUGAGUUUAAGCAUAUCAAUAAGCGGAGGAGAAGAAACUAACAAGGAUUCCCUUAGUAACGGCGAGCGAACCGGGAAGAGCCCAGCUUGAAAAUCGGACGUCUUCGGCGUUCGA
Molecule: ribosomal RNA, 414 nt
Filed under: Arabis scabra
Lineage: Eukaryota; Viridiplantae; Streptophyta; Magnoliopsida; Brassicales; Brassicaceae
Description: eukaryotic LSU rRNA
Rfam family: Eukaryotic large subunit ribosomal RNA (bases 274-414)
Source: RNAcentral